Molecule: ribosomal RNA, 412 nt
Filed under: Coptotermes acinaciformis
Lineage: Eukaryota; Metazoa; Arthropoda; Insecta; Blattodea; Rhinotermitidae
Description: partial 16S ribosomal RNA
Source: RNAcentral
AAACAUCUUUUCUUGUUAGUUUUUGAAGUAUGGCCUGCCCGCUGACGUUUAGUUGAAGGGCCGCGGUAUUUUGACCGUGCAAAGGUAGCAUAAUCAUUAGUUCUUUAAUUGUGAUCUGGAAUGAAUGGCUUGACGAGACAUGAGCUGUCUUAGUGUUGAAUAUUUUAUUGAAUUUGGUCUUUGAGUUAAAAUUCUUAGAUGUUUUUAUGGGACGAGAAGACCCUAUAGAGUUUGACAUUUGGUUUAUUCAUUUAUUGGUUGUUUGUUUAUUUUAUUGGUGAGUGGGCUUUUUGUUUUGUUGGGGUGAUGAGAGGAAUUAUUUAACUCCUCUUGGUUUUAGUUAUAUUGAUUUAUAUUUAUUUGAUCCAUUUAUUUUGAUUAUAAGAUUAAAUUACCUUAGGGAUAACAGCGU